GAUGAAGAACGUAGUGAAAUGCGAUACGUAAUGUGAAUUGCAAAUUCAGUGAAUCAUCGAGUCUUUGAACGCACAUUGCGCCCCCUGGUAUUCCGGGGGGCAUGCCUGUCCGAGCGUCAUUGCUGCCCUCAAGCACGGCUUGUGUGUUGGGCCCCGUCCUCCGAUCCCGGGGGACGGGCCCGAAAGGCAGCGGCGGCACCGCGUCCGGUCCUCGAGCGUAUGGGGCUUUGUCACCCGCUCUGUAGGCCCGGCCGGCGCUUGCCGAUCAACCCAAUUUUUUAUCCAGGUUGACCUCGGAUCAGGUAGGGAUACCCGCUGAACUUAAGCAUAUCAAUAAGCGGAGGA
Molecule: unclassified non-coding RNA, 345 nt
Filed under: soil metagenome
Description: partial contains 5.8S ribosomal RNA, internal transcribed spacer 2, and large subunit ribosomal RNA
Rfam family: 5.8S ribosomal RNA (bases 1-119)
Source: RNAcentral